Molecule: ribosomal RNA, 460 nt
Filed under: uncultured bacterium
Lineage: Bacteria
Description: partial 16S ribosomal RNA
Rfam family: Bacterial small subunit ribosomal RNA
Source: RNAcentral
CCUACGGGGGGCAGCAGUGAGGAAUAUUGGUCAAUGGGCGCGAGCCUGAACCAGCCAAGUAGCGUGAAGGAUGACUGCCCUACGGGUUGUAAACUUCUUUUAUAAAGGAAUAAAGUGAGGCACGUGUGCCUUUUUGUAUGUACUUUAUGAAUAAGGAUCGGCUAACUCCGUGCCAGCAGCCGCGGUAAUACGGAGGAUCCGAGCGUUAUCCGGAUUUAUUGGGUUUAAAGGGAGCGUAGAUGGGUUGUUAAGUCAGUUGUGAAAGUUUGCGGCUCAACCGUAAAAUUGCAAUUGAUAAUGGCAGCCUUGAGUACAGUUGAGGUAGGCGGAAUUCGUGGUGUAGCGGUGAAAUGCUUAGAUAUCACGAAGAACUCCGAUUGCGAAGGCAGCUUACCGGCGCUCAACUGACGCUCAUGCACGAAAGUGUGGGUAUCGAACAGGAUUAGAUACCCGAGUAGUC